GCCUUUCUUUUGCAGCGGGUGGGCGUGGGUCGGUGCGAGGGCCGUUAGGGGUUGCUGCGCUCGCGUAUGCUGAGGGAGGGAGGAAAAUUUGGCGCGGUGUGCGGCUGGUUGGCCUUGGCCUUGGCCGGCUGCUGAAGAAGGAGGGGAGGGGAGGAGGGUGGUUAGAAGAGUACCGCUGAAGCUGAAGCGCGCUGGCGCCGCCGAUGGGCGGCCUGAGCUGCGCCGACGCGUAGCCGCUGCUGUAGCGGACCCGCCUGCAGCCGCCGCACAUGCUGGCGCUGCUGAGGGAGUUCCUCUUGUGGUUGGGGUUCACGGAGGAGUUCCGGGUGUUGGGCUCGCGCGGGCCGGUCGUGGUGGUGGUGGUGUUGCCGCGGCGCAGCGUCGCGAAGAGCCCCUUGGACUUCGGGUGCCGCCGCGGGUAGUAGCCGGAGAGGCCCUUCGAGCCUGUCCCGCCGCGCGCCGCCUGGGUGGUCGUCGUGGGCGGGCGGUACAAGGGGUUCUUCCGGUUCUGGCCGCCGCCGCCGGCGUUGGGCUCCGGGCGGCAGGGCCUCCUGCUCGGGUCGAGGGGGUUCCAGAGCACGUAGCCGUUCCACGAGAGGCUCGCGCUCUCCCGCGCUGCGGCCGGAGCGGGCGGGGGGAGCCUCGCGCGAAGAGGGCCGACGACGGGACCCGAGCCGAAGGAGUACGCGGCGUCGGCGAGCGCCUUCUCGCGGCAGCUCUCGCAGCUGACCAGGGGCGGAGGGGGCGGUGGCCGCCGCUCCGCCUCCCUCCGCUUCCGCCGACUCUGCCUCCUCCGGCGCGGCCGCGGCCGCGGGCCCGACCCUCCCCAGUACGCCAAGCGCAGCCCCUCCGCCCGCCGCCUAACCCGCCGGGUCUACCUCCACCUGCUGGCGCACCGCUUUAGGCCCGGCAACAUCGCGCCCGUCCUCUAAAUUAAAACGAGAACCCAACCCAAACCAACACUAGAGAAGACGACGAAGAACAACGGCACGAGAUCCGAAUCAUUUAGGCACACACAAACACACAUAUAUGACUAUCAUAAUUAAUCCUGUCUUUGUAAACACCCUAGUACUAUACCCAAACUUUUAGUCUGUUUUAAAACGAUCAAAGGAGUAGACGAAACCGAGCAAAGACUUAACAACGUUGAAGUGUACAAGAAACUGUUACAUCAGGACUGCAGAACACCUUUAAACUACUUUUAAAGUCUGGUUUAGAACUGAUGUAUAGAACGUGGUGGUAGAAGAACGUCUUCGAGUCGUCGGAUCGAACUCUCCUUGCUACGGCAGUACCCGGUACCGGUGUAGAGGUUUCCGUAAGGAGAAUAAGAUCACUCAAAUUAGGUAGAAAGUGGCACAGGUAGAUCAGUAAGGAUGAAUGUUAACCCUGUCUAAAACUUAACACGUUAUGAGACGGCAGUCCCUAGACUACUUUUAAGUUGGAAUCGACAUUGGUGAAUAAAAGUCGUGUAUCAAAGGGAUUUUAUACAAUGAUGAGACGGGUCGUAAGAAACGAGUUCACGCUGAAGUAAGUCUAAUCACCUUAAUUUAUUUGGAUUCGGUAGCCAUCUUACGUCUUUUCGUCGGUGAUGAACCAGCAUCUAGACAAACAAAGCACCAAUCUAAACCCGCACGGUGAAUGAGCCACUGUCUAUGCGGAACUAACUAAGAAAGUAACGUAUAGUCAAAUAAACUGAAGCAGUGAUAAAUAUAAUCAUCACAUAUUCGACAGUACAAAAGCUCAAACUAGUGCGUAGACUUAUGUGAUAAACAAGAUAAGUGCUUAAGACCGAGGCUUUGACGUCUUUGUCGACGUGACAAGGGAAACAACGAAAGCUUCCCAAAAGAACGUUCCUGAACAAUUCACUGACUAAUACACGAAAUGACAAUUAAGAUAACAUCAUUUGUACACGAUCAUAGGAACUAGGAGGUAUAGAGAAGAGUUUGAACUUAAAUACAACAAUGUAGUAUUUAACUCCUAGGUCAUACGUCGGACAUAUAUGUCUCCACGGUAAAACGUAACAGGUGAUCGACGUAGCAACAAAGGUCUCUACUUGAAAUCAAUAGAUAAAUAACAACGUCUCAUACGUAAAAUAGUAGCAGUCAUGUAGUGUUUUCUAGCAACCGAGGUAGUACGUAGUAACAUUACCCCAAUACUACACUACCUAUAACUAAUAGAGUUUUAGGGUUUGACACGAGGACAUAUAACCGAUGUCUGGACAGGCGGUUGAAGAAAAGUGAAGAAUUUGAUUAAUGAUCCCUUUUAACAUAUAGAUGUUGAUUUAUAAAUAUCGUGUAAGUAUAAAUCAACAAGACUUCACUUCUUAAAUCUUUGAAGUUGAGACCGAUGAAUUCAAACGUGAAGUGUAACUUGCAUUCACUCGAUACCUAUGGCUCCCACCGAUAUAGACAAAAAGACAACGGACUUGUACAGACCCAUACAUUUAGUAACUUGUCGACCAUUACCACAGCGUUUUAUAUAUGGUAUUGGAGGUUUACUUAAGACGACAUUACUCUUUUAACGUUAUCUGUGACCACAUCACAUUUAACAGUUUUGUACCACGUCAGGAACCAUAAUUUAAAUAACCAACGAAGCUCAAGACUUAUAGUAAUCACUAUCAAGGUGUUUCUUUCUGUCUUUCAAGGUUCUCGCUCAACAACGUGAUCCACCUAAAAGUUCUCGGAUCGUCGUGAUUGUAUGUAAAAAAUUAAAUCACGAUAACCGUUGUCUUCCCAAUGAUCAAAGGUCCUAAAGUUACAUUUGUUUCGCAACUCAUCUCUUUGUUAUCAAAGACGAACUCUAUCGUCACCGCCAUUCGUAGUUGAAUCGACCUUAAUUAUAACUGACUUGUGUUACCUAAAAAAAACAAUAAAGAUUACUACCCGUCUUUGAAGCUUAAAGAGGAACAAGGUUAGAUUUAUUGUGUUCAACCAUGGCUCAGACAGCCUUUGUCACGGUAAGCCAUAGCACUAUUACAUCCGAAGAAUUAGGAACACUACAGAAGCUCUGCUCGCAUAACAACUACGACUAAAAGGUUUAAUUUACGGAAAGAUGUAAAGUCCGCUCCCUGGUGUGUCUAAACAACACGGCGUUCUCGCCCAUAUACGGUAGUCCGAGUCAAUAGUAUCUUCCCUAUUAGCGGCCGGAACCUCAGUGACCUAAAUACGUAACGUCUUGUGUUCGUUUCGAACAGAACUUCAACCGACUGGAACACUCUUUUGUAACAAGUUCGUUCGUCAACGUACACGAUAAGUAAGACUACGACAAUUGUCCCUACUUUAUUCUUUAGACCCCUUACAUACACAAGUGAACGUCAUAUG
Molecule: ribosomal RNA, 3317 nt
Filed under: Triticum aestivum (bread wheat)
Lineage: Eukaryota; Viridiplantae; Streptophyta; Magnoliopsida; Poales; Poaceae
Description: partial small subunit ribosomal RNA
Source: RNAcentral